GAUGAACGCUGGCGGCGUGCCUAAUACAUGCAAGUCGAGCGAACGGACGAGAAGCUUGCUUCUCUGAUGUUAGCGGCGGACGGGUGAGUAACACGUGGAUAACCUACCUAUAAGACUGGGAUAACUUCGGGAAACCGGAGCCAAUACCGGAUAAUAUUUUGAACCGCAUGGUUCAAAAGUGAAAGACGGUCUUGCUGUCACUUAUAGAUGGAUCCGCGCUGCAUUAGCUAGUUGGUAAGGUAAUGGCUUACCAAGGCAACGAUGCAUAGCCGACCUGAGAGGGUGAUCGGCCACAUUGGAACUGAGACACGGUCCAGACGCCUACGGGAGGCAGCAGUAGGGAAUCUUCCGCAAUGGGCGAAAGCCUGACGGAGCAACGCCGCGUGAGUGAUGAAGGUCUUCGGAUCGUAAAACUCGGUUAUUAGGGAAGAACAUAUGUGUAAGUAACUGUGCACAUCUUGACGGUACCUAAUCAGAAAGCCACGGCUAACUACGUG
Molecule: ribosomal RNA, 497 nt
Filed under: uncultured bacterium
Lineage: Bacteria
Description: partial 16S ribosomal RNA
Rfam family: Bacterial small subunit ribosomal RNA
Source: RNAcentral